UCCAGACUCCUACGGGAGGCAGCAGUGGGGGAUAUUGGACAAUGGGGGAAACCCUGAUCCAGCGGCGCCGCGUGAGUGAAGAAGUAUUUCGGUAUGUAAAGCUCUGUCAGCGGGGAAGAAAGAAAUGACGGUACCUGACCAAGAAGCCCCGGCUAACUACGUGCCAGCAGCCGCGGUAAUACGUAGGGGGCAAGCGUUAUCCGGAAUUACUGGGUGUAAAGGGAGCGUAGACGGUGAUGCAAGUCUGGAGUGAAAGGCGGGGGCCCAACCCCCGGACUGCUCUGGAAACUGUAUGGCUGGAGUGCAGGAGAGGUAAGUGGAAUUCCUAGUGUAGCGGUGAAAUGCGUAGAUAUUAGGAGGAACACCAGUGGCGAAGGCGGCUUACUGGACUGUAACUGACGUUGAGGCUCGAAAGCGUGGGGAGCAAACAGGAUUAGAUACCCGCGUA
RNAcentral lists this ribosomal RNA (448 nucleotides) under uncultured bacterium. RNAcentral's name for it is "bacterial SSU rRNA". It matches the Rfam family "Bacterial small subunit ribosomal RNA", at positions 330 to 792 of the family's 1533-position model. The record is from RNAcentral.